This 498-nucleotide ribosomal RNA is filed under the name uncultured bacterium. RNAcentral's name for it is "partial 16S ribosomal RNA". It matches the Rfam family "Bacterial small subunit ribosomal RNA", at positions 28 to 507 of the family's 1533-position model. The record is from RNAcentral.
GACGAACGCUGGCGGCGUGCCUAAUACAUGCAAGUCGAACGAGAGCAACCGGUGCUUGCCCUGGUCAAUCUAGUGGCGAACGGGUGAGUAACACGUGGGUAACCUGCCCAUCAGAGGGGGAUAACAUCCGGCAACGGAUGCUAAAACCGCAUAGGUCUUCGAACCGCAUGGUUUGAAGAGGAAAAGAGGCGCAAGCUUCUGCUGACGGCUGGACCCGCGGUGCAUUAGCUAGUUGGUGAGGUAACGGCUCACCAAGGCCGUGAUGCAUAGCCGACCUGAGAGGUUGAUCGGCCACAUUGGGACUGAGACACGGCCCAAACUCCUACGGGAGGCAGCAGUAGGGAAUCUUCCGCAAUGGACGCAAGUCUGACGGAGCAACGCCGCGUGAGUGAAGAAGGUGUUCGGAUCGUAAAACUCUGUUGUUAGAGAAGAACAAGUGCUAGAGUAACUGUUAGCGCCUUGACGGUAUCUAACCAGAAAGCCACGGCUAACUACGUG